RNAcentral lists this ribosomal RNA (257 nucleotides) under uncultured bacterium. RNAcentral describes it as "partial 16S ribosomal RNA". It matches the Rfam family "Bacterial small subunit ribosomal RNA", at positions 524 to 776 of the family's 1533-position model. The record is from RNAcentral.
UACAUGGGGUGCAAACGUUGCUCGGAAUUAUUGGGCGUAAAGCGCACGUAGGCGGUUCGUUAAGUCGGAUGUGAAAGCCCUCGGCUCAACUGAGGAAGUGCACCCGAAACUGGCGAGCUUGAGUACGAAAGAGGAUCGCGGAAUUCCCGGUGUAGAGGUGAAAAUUCGUAGAUAUCGGGGAGGAACACCGGGUGGCGAAGGCGGCGAUCUGGGUCGAUACUGACGCGUGAGGUGCGAAAGCGUGGGGAGCAAACAGG